AUGGGCACAAAGGGGGUCAGCAUAUCUCACAUCAAGAGCCAUCUUCAGAUGCAUAGGUCAAGCUCUAGCAGCAGCAACAACAACAAUAACAACAACAACAACAACAAUAACCCACCCCACGUGUCAGCGAAUCGUUGCCAAGGUCACUGCAUCGAUGGCAACAACACAAGAACAACGUCUUCAGACAGGAUCAACGCUCCCUCUAACGUCGUGUUUCACCGUGGCCACCACUCGACGUUGCCACCGUGCCAAAUGCCAUCGAUCGAAGAGGUUUUUAGGAGCUGGGAGGAGAGUAAAAAGCGGCUGCCAUGGAACUCCACCAGCAUGCUAAUUACACCAGAAAAGGCGACUGGCUGGUCUCGUCACACCGACGACAAGAUGCGCCAGAAGAAGCAGCAACCAGCAGCGGGGUGUGACCUAACGUUGUCGAUCGGCCGGUGUGGGGAAUCAGAGGCGACAGCGACGCUGACAUCUCGAGCACGACCACUGAGGAGGCCGCUGCGCUGGCAAGGGGUCGAGGUGCCGGUGGCCACCGUCGCCCCCAGGCUGCCGCCGAUCUGA
RNAcentral lists this ribosomal RNA (561 nucleotides) under Triticum aestivum (bread wheat). Its description in RNAcentral is "partial small subunit ribosomal RNA". The record is from RNAcentral. Lineage: Eukaryota; Viridiplantae; Streptophyta; Magnoliopsida; Poales; Poaceae.